Small nucleolar RNA from Mastomys coucha (southern multimammate mouse), 130 nucleotides. RefSeq annotates it as small nucleolar RNA SNORA17. The transcript has a single exon. The record is from RefSeq and is a predicted model, not a curated record. Lineage: Eukaryota; Metazoa; Chordata; Mammalia; Rodentia; Muridae.
GCUACUGUGUCAUAUGUGCUAGGUGGUAGAGCACAUAUGACAUAUGUGCUAGGUGGUAGAGAAGAGAGAGAGAAUAUCUACACUGAGUGUUCUGACCUGUGAACAUCUGAAUGAUUUCUAGCCUAACAUU